AGGCACAGCAAUACUUGGAGCCUUCCCACAGCACCGCCAUCUAUCUCUAAAGAAAUCAGCUCAGAAUUAAAACAGAGGGUGACAGGAAGGAAGAGAAAUGUAUCUUUGUGCGAACACUUCAUAGUUUUAACAUGCUCAUGUAACACAGUGAGGGUGGGCCAGCUGGCCAUAAAAUAACCUAGACUGAUAAAUUAAUCAGAAGUAUGCUCUGUGUGCUACCAACUGUCCUGUGACUAAUAAGUUAGUUUUCUACUUUGGCAGGUUCCACGGCUUUACUUGUAGCAUGAAGAGAAGAGCUGGAAGGAAAAGGGAGGACUGUGACCCCUGGCCUUGAUCUUGGCUUUCUCUGGUACAGAGCACUAUUACGUAUGUGCUUGCCUCUGGACUGGUUUUAACCCUGUCAACGCUGCCAAUGGGUACAUGCAGGCCAAUACUGGAAGAGCUUCAUCAGCUCUCUCAUCUCUGUUUGAAAACAGCAGGUACGCUCUGAGGUGCUUUGCCCCCUCCAUUGGUUAUUUCCUUCUUGACUGACACUUACAGUUUCAUAUGAGCCUUUCCACCAAGUUUUUUGUACCUUG
This is a long non-coding RNA of Gallus gallus (chicken), 578 nucleotides long. Lineage: Eukaryota; Metazoa; Chordata; Aves; Galliformes; Phasianidae. The record is from Ensembl.